AGGACGAACGCUGGCGGCGUGCUUAACACAUGCAAGUCGAGCGGAAAGGCCCUUCGGGGUACUCGAGCGGCGAGCGGGUGAGUAACACGUGAGCAACCUGCCCUUAGCUCCGGGAUAGCUCCGGGAAACCGGAAUUAAUACCGGAUACGACCACAGCCGACAUCUGCUGUGGUGGAAAGGAUUCCGGCUAAGGAUGGGCUCGCGGCCUAUCAGCUAGUUGGUGGAGUAACGGCCCACCAAGGCGACGACGGGUA
RNAcentral lists this ribosomal RNA (254 nucleotides) under uncultured bacterium. Its description in RNAcentral is "partial small subunit ribosomal RNA". It matches the Rfam family "Bacterial small subunit ribosomal RNA", at positions 26 to 285 of the family's 1533-position model. The record is from RNAcentral.